CAAAAAAGUUUGCCUUAUUACCAGUGAUUUUGUUUUGGCUAAGUUUUUGUUAGAGUCCUAUAACUUGCCUAACUUUUUGAAAAUCAGAGUGUUUCUACAACAAGACUUUAAUUUAUAUACAUUAUGAAGUUUAAGUUUUGGGUAGAGGACUAGUCUGGGUGACAUUAAAUGCUAGAAUGCCAGGUUCCCUUUGGGGAACAUAAAACUUUACUGACUUAUUUUCCCCAAACUCUAGUGGUGAAACUUUGAGUUGGUUAUGAAGCCUUUGCUCUUCAGUCUGAAAUUAUAACCCUGAAGGCCAAUCCUUGCAAUAUAUUCAGUGUAUGCUGUGGACACAGCCUAUUUUUCAGCACAGCUUGUUGGCUAGAACCAGUCAGUGGGACCUCACUGCACUUUCAGGGCCAGCCCCAGCUCUGCCUAUUCAUGUGACAGUUACUGAUCAUCGGGUCUGGCAGAAGCAAAGGGGGAGCUCCCAAACAGUCUGGCCUGUCUCAUACUGGACCUGUCAGCCUCCUCAGAAGCAGAGCAUAUGUUCAGAGUGGCCCCUUCUAACUCAGAUGCUCACAUGGAUAAGGAAGAAAAAAUAUCAACCAAAGAUGCCGAAAAAACACUUUACUUUAAUAAAGGCCUCAUAACUGAAGGAAUGCUAAUCACAUAUUCUUCCUAAAUUGAGUUUUGGGCUGAUUUCAAUAUGGAAAGCUCCAGCGAGAAAGGAUGAGUCCCAGAAAUUUGCAAAUACUUAAAAACAAGUACACACUGUUCUCCCAAUAAACUGAGAUUUCAGCCAUCUCAGUGUCUCUCCUCCACAUGAAAGCACUAAUUCCUAAGAAUUUUGUGAAGAAGGGGCACCUUGGUGGCACAGUUGGUGGAGUGUCUGACUCUUGAUUUCAGCUCAGGUCAUGAUCUCAGGGCUGUGAGAUCAAUGCCUCA
Molecule: long non-coding RNA, 930 nt
Organism: Lutra lutra (Eurasian river otter)
Lineage: Eukaryota; Metazoa; Chordata; Mammalia; Carnivora; Mustelidae
Exons: 4
Source: RefSeq, a predicted model, not a curated record